Long non-coding RNA from Helianthus annuus (common sunflower), 968 nucleotides. RefSeq lists it as uncharacterized. The record is from RefSeq and is a predicted model, not a curated record. The transcript is spliced from 3 exons. NCBI's taxonomy places the organism in Eukaryota, Viridiplantae, Streptophyta, Magnoliopsida, Asterales, Asteraceae.
UUUACCCAUUUGGAGAUCGAUUCAUAUGCGCAUUGUAAGGAUGUUAACAAUUUCAACCGUCGUAGCUUCACUCCGUUGUUACAAUUUCAAACAACUGACCUGAGCAUUAUUGGUCCAAAACAACAAUGAUUGAUUGAUGCAAAGAACUACCAAUGGUGACCAGAAAAAUAAACAGAUGAUGCACUUACUAACAACUGAUUUGAUCUACACCUAUGGUGACUGGGCUGUGUUUCUGAUGGCGUCGUGGUGGGAACUCUUAGCCAUCAUACAUCAGUAGAUGACAGCAACUACGGUUUGAGUGAAGUAUUCGGGAUAGCUUGGAGAUGACUCAAGGCAUGGGUUAACUGGUCAAACUUAGCCCACUAAGUCAACUCGGUCUACGGUGGGUGUGAGUGGGUGCAGAUUCUAAAACCAACGAGAGGGAAGAACUACGUACGCCCCCGACCGCAACCGUCAAACAUGAAGAUCUAUUAGCAUAAUUAAUUGAUAUAGGCCACAAUUGCAAAUGUUGCUGCAUGGAUAUGGUUACACAUCUAUAAUACCUGCAGCUGGAGAUGGUUGUUGGGAUUUUGAUAGAAUCAUCAUGGCUGGAGAUGUGAGCAAGACACCAAGGUAGUGUUGUUCAUGGUAAAGGUUUUUAUAGCUAGACUAUGUACAACAGAACUUUAUUAGCACCCCUAAAAUGGUCAAGGAUGUGUUGGUCAUUCCGUUUUCAGUCGUCUUCGAUGGCUAAAGCUUUAGUGUGCACUUAAGAUUGGCUAUGCAAGUAAAAAAAACAAAUCAAAAUGAAUGAAGAUUCAGCUAAUCUUAAUAAAUUUUUGAAAGGUAGUACUAACUUUUCUUCUUUUACCUACCAAUCAAUGUUGUAAAAACAGGUUGCAACCGAACCGCACGGCAUGCAUCGAACCGACACUUAUUGGUCGCCCUAGCUUUUUCACGAGUGGUGGUUGAACACUUUACCCGGUUCA